AAGUUGAGCCAAAGGAUCAAGAUUUGUGGAAUAACGCAAACACAUUUUCAACCAUCGAAUUGGAAUCCUAGAAAGGGGAUUCGUUUACUUCAAUAUUCCAAAUUUCAGAUACAGGUAAGUGUGUGUUUGUGUGUUCAUGCAUGUUGUUGAAAUCAUUUUUCCUACCGUUUUUGCAUUUCUUACAUAUUCUUUUAGCUUGCUUGCUCCACAUGCACUGUACAUGCCGUUAGGGUCCGUUUGGGUGCCAUGAA
Molecule: long non-coding RNA, 251 nt
Organism: Telopea speciosissima
Lineage: Eukaryota; Viridiplantae; Streptophyta; Magnoliopsida; Proteales; Proteaceae
Exons: 3
Source: RefSeq, a predicted model, not a curated record